Colossoma macropomum (tambaqui) is the source of this 685-nucleotide long non-coding RNA. RefSeq lists it as uncharacterized. The record is from RefSeq and is a predicted model, not a curated record. The transcript has 4 exons. NCBI's taxonomy places the organism in Eukaryota, Metazoa, Chordata, Actinopteri, Characiformes, Serrasalmidae.
CCGAUCAGAGCCAGAGCCUGUCUGGACCUGAGAGCUCUCUCUCAGCAUCAACUCUACUGCAGGCUGAUGAUCCAGUUGAACCCAGCGAUGUGACUUAUGCUGAAAUUGAACUGAAAGCCAAGAAGAAGGAAAAGAAAAAGCAAGACAGGGACUGUUUGCUUAAAGGGAAGACCACCGCAGAUGCAGAUACUGUCUACUCAGAACUGAAGCAGAAUACAGACAAAGGUCCUUGAAGAAAGCUGGUGUUGUUGCAGUUCUCAGAAGUAAUCAUUUGCAGUAACUGUUCAUUUGAGAUUUUAAGGAAUACAGAAAGAAGAGGACACAAUUUAAACAUAUUUAUCUGUUGGAUUUGUCUUUAAAGGAAUUCUGCAAUUAUUCUAUAUUGUUGAAAUGAAAAAGUCUUAUUUACUGAUUUGUAACUAAACCAUUUUGAUGUUGAAAAUAAUUCAUUGUAUUGCGUUUGUUGAGCUCUACUUUUUUUUAACCAGGUUAACUUUUCAGCCAUGUCAAUCAUUCUUAUACAAGAGCCUCACUGGCAUACAUUUCAUUAGAGUUUUGGGUCAAACAGGAUUAAACACUCUCUGGUCAGCAGAGGUGAGCAGUAACUGGUUCCAUUUAUUCAGUUGUGCUUAAUUAAUAUAUUUGUACUUUUCUGAGUAUUUUCAAAUGAUAAUAGCUUUUUACU